GAUGAACGCUGGCGGCGUGCCUAAUACAUGCGAGUCGAGCGAACGGACGAGAAGCUUGCUUCUCUGAUGUUAGCGGCGGACGGGUGAGUAACACGUGGAUAACCUACCUAUAAGACUGGGAUAACUUCGGGAAACCGGAGCUAAUACCGGAUAAUAUUUUGAACCGCAUGGUUCAAAAGUGAAAGACGGUCUUGCUGUCACUUAUAGAUGGAUCCGCGCUGCAUUAGCUAGUUGGUAAGGUAACGGCUUACCAAGGCAACGAUGCAUAGCCGACCUGAGAGGGUGAUCGGCCACACUGGAACUGAGACACGGUCCAGACUCCUACGGGAGGCAGCAGAAGGGAAUCUUCCGCAAUGGGCGGAAGCCUGACGGAGCAACGCCGCGUGAGUGAUGAAGGUCUUCGGAUCGUAAAACUCUGUUAUUAGGGAAGAACAUAUGUGUAAGUAACUGUGCACAUCUUGACGGUACCUAAUCAGAAAGCAACGGCUAACUACGUG
Molecule: ribosomal RNA, 497 nt
Filed under: uncultured bacterium
Lineage: Bacteria
Description: partial 16S ribosomal RNA
Rfam family: Bacterial small subunit ribosomal RNA
Source: RNAcentral